This 2510-nucleotide ribosomal RNA is filed under the name uncultured fungus. RNAcentral's name for it is "bacterial SSU rRNA". The stretch from base 1547 to 2510 matches the Rfam family "Eukaryotic large subunit ribosomal RNA", at positions 1 to 941 of the family's 3401-position model. Lineage: Eukaryota; Fungi. The record is from RNAcentral.
CGGCUUAAUUCGACUCAACACGGGGAAACUUACCAGGUCCAGACAUAACUAGGAUUGACAGAUUGACAGCUCUUUCUUGAUUUUAUGGGUGGUGGUGCAUGGCCGUUCUUAGUUGGUGGAGUGAUUUGUCUGGUUAAUUCCGAUAACGAACGAGACCUUAACCUGCUAAAUAGCCCAGCUGGCUUUUGCUGGUUGCAGGCUUCUUAGAGGGACUAUCAACAUCAAGUUGACGGAAGUUUGAGGCAAUAACAGGUCUGUGAUGCCCUUAGAUGUUCUGGGCCGCACGCGCGCUACACUGACAGAGCCAGUGAGUUUUUUCCCUUGCCCGAAAGGUCUGGGUAAUCUUGUGAAACUCUGUCGUGCUGGGGAUAGAGCAUUGCAAUUAUUGCUCUUCAACGAGGAAUUCCUAGUAAGCGUGAGUCAUCAGCUCGCGUUGAUUACGUCCCUGCCCUUUGUACACACCGCCCGUCGAUACUACCGAUUGAAUGGCUUAGCGAGGCCUCCGGAUUGAUUUUGGGGAGCCGGCAACGGCACUUCAUUGUUGAGAAGUUGGUCAAACUUGGUCAUUUAGAGGAAGUAAAAGUCGUAACAAGGUUUCCGUAGGUGAACCUGCGGAAGGAUCAUUAUUGAGUUCUUUGAAGUAGAGGCUUUAACAGCUCUGUCUUUGUUUCUGAUGCUGGCAGUGUAAGACCUUCUUUUGCUGCAUGUGCUCGAAGCUAUUUACCAGACAGAAGUUAUACCUCCUGCUUUCAAAUCUGCUCAUAUUGCUCUUUUUUUUAACACCUGUGCAUCAAUAAGCAAAGUCUCAAUCACUUGGCUUUUAGUUCUUGCAAUUGAUGUUGUUUAUGUAUAUUGUAUGCACUCUUCUGAGCCCUUCCGGAUUGGGAAAUGUAUACUAUUGUGGGUCCUGUUAUUAUGAUUGACUUGAGGGAUCGACACAUUCCCAAGUUAGGAAAGUAACAUGGAUCGACAUUGCACAUAAACCUCUACAUCUUCAUAGAGCUGCCUUGCAUGUAAUGUGGACUUUGUCUUAGUUUUAUACAAAUCCCAAUGUCUGUCUUGUAGAAUGAAAUAACAAUGGGAUUUUUAUACAACUUUCAACAAUGGAUCUCUUGGCUCUCGCAUCGAUGAAGAACGCAGCGAAAUGCGAUAAGUANNNNNNNNNNNNNNNNNNNNNGUGAAUCAUCGAAUCUUUGAACGCACCUUGUACUCCUUGGGUUUCCUAUGGAGUAUGCCUGUUUGAGUGUUAUGUUAAUCUCAAUUCCCUCAGUCUUUCUAUAUGAAAGUCUGUCUUGGUGAAUUGGAGUUUGGAGGGAUUAAUGCAGGUUUCUUCUCUUAUCCUCUUCAUGGAUAGAAGAAAUCAGCUCCUCUUAAAAACAUUAGCUUUGGGGGAUGAAGACAACUGCUCUUUUAGCACUGUUCAUUUGCUUAUAAUGUAAUAACUGUUUCAUUGUAGCAUAUCAGUGUGCUUUUGAAUUUAGAGUCUAAUUGUAGCAUUCUCUGCUUCAAAUUUGUCAAGUCUUGCUUGACAGUACAGUUGAUUCUUUGACCUCAAAUCAGGCAGGGUUACCCGCUGAACUUAAGCAUAUCAAUAAGCGGAGGAAAAGAAACUAACAAGGAUUCCCCUAGUAACUGCGAGUGAAGCGGGAAAAGCUCAAAUUUAAAAUCUGGCAGCUAUGCUGUCCGAGUUGUAAUCUGUAGAAGUGUUUUCUGCAUUGGACCGUGUACAAGUCUCUUGGAAUAGAGUGUCAUAGAGGGUGAGAAUCCCGUCCAUGACACGGACUACCAAUGCUUUGUGAUACACUCUCAAAGAGUCGAGUUGUUUGGGAAUGCAGCUCAAAAUGGGUGGUAAAUUCCAUCUAAAGCUAAAUAUAGGCGAGAGACCGAUAGUGAACAAGUACCGUGAGGGAAAGAUGAAAAGUACUUUGGAAAGAGAGUUAAACAGUACGUGAAAUUGUUGAAAGGGAAACACUUGAAGUCAGUCAUAUUCUAUGGGACUCAGCCCAGUCUCUAGGGAUAGGGUGUAUUUCCUACAGGAUAGGUCAACAUCAAUUUUGGUUGAUGGAUAAAGGGGGAGGGAAUGUAGCACCUUUACAGGUGUGUUUAUAGCCUUUCUUCAUAUACAUUGGCUAGGAUUGAGGACUGCAGCAUGCCCUUAAAGGGGACAGGAUUUAUCAUGUUACAUGCUUAGGAUGUAGGCAAAAUGGCUUUAAGUGACCCGUCUUGAAACACGGACCAAGGAGUCUAACAUGCCUGCAAGUAUUUGGGUGGAAAACCCUUAUGCAUAAUGAAAGUGAAAAUUGGGAACCCUCACAAAGGGGGUGCACUGAUGCCUGGCCCUGAUGUUUACUGACGGUGCUACGGUAGAGCAUGUAUGUUGGGACCCGAAAGAUGGUGAACUAUGCCUGAAUAGGGUGAAGCCAGAGGAAACUCUGGUGGAAGCUCGUAGCGAUUCUGACGUGCAAAUCGAUCGUCAAAUUUGGGUAUAGGGGCGAAAGACUAAUCGAACC